CUGAAAAGACGAAAGGGGUUUU
This 22-nucleotide microRNA is filed under the name Panagrellus redivivus. Its description in RNAcentral is "prd-miR-7914-3p". The record is from miRBase by way of RNAcentral. Lineage: Eukaryota; Metazoa; Nematoda; Chromadorea; Rhabditida; Panagrolaimidae.